This 375-nucleotide RNase P RNA is filed under the name Nitrospirae bacterium GWD2_57_9. RNAcentral describes it as "RNase P RNA component class A". It matches the Rfam family "Bacterial RNase P class A". Rfam says of the family: Ribonuclease P (RNase P) is a ubiquitous endoribonuclease, found in archaea, bacteria and eukarya as well as chloroplasts and mitochondria. Its best characterised activity is the generation of mature 5'-ends of tRNAs by cleaving the 5'-leader elements of precursor-tRNAs. The record is from RNAcentral. Lineage: Bacteria; Pseudomonadati; Nitrospirota.
AGAGCGGGUCAAGUGAUCGCUCCCCGGCAACGGGGGGAGGAAAGUCCGAGCUCCGCAGGGCAAGGCGGUCCCGAAACGGGACAGGGGGCGACCCCAUGGAGAGUGCCACAGAAAAGAAGACCGCCUCGUACAGAGGCAAGGGUGAAACGGUGGGGUAAGAGCCCACCAGGUUCCCGGGCGACCGGGAAUGCUUGGAAAACCCCGCCUGGAGCAAGGCCACAUAGGGAAGCGUCUCCCGAGCGAUCGGGAGUAAGGACUGCCCGUCCGAGACUUCCGGGUAGGCCGCUCGUGCCCUCGAGCAAUCGGGGGCCCAGAUAAAUGAUCACUGCUCCCGGAAACGGGAGAACAGAACUCGGCUUACGACCCGCUCUGAUC